Penaeus chinensis is the source of this 231-nucleotide long non-coding RNA. RefSeq lists it as uncharacterized. The record is from RefSeq and is a predicted model, not a curated record. Lineage: Eukaryota; Metazoa; Arthropoda; Malacostraca; Decapoda; Penaeidae. The transcript has 2 exons.
CUCGUGAGGAGCGCCGCGGCUUGCGUCAUGUCCGCUCUGAUAUCUACAAUAACAAGUCAUCCCUUCGGUUAAAACGCUUUUCUAGAUAUGGACGUUGCAUCGUGUUCAGGCAUUUUAACCACCAAGAUCAAGCAGUGUUAUUUGAUUCUUCCCAGCCAACCAGACAGAUUUUGAGCUUACUCUAAGCUUAAAUAUAAAGAACAUGUAUUAUUUAUAAAUCAACAUAAACAA